CCUACGGGAGGCAGCAGUGGGGAAUAUUGGGCAAUGGGCGCAAGCCUGACCCAGCAACGCCGCGUGAAGGAAGAAUGCUUUCGGGUUUUAAACUUCUUUUAUCAGGGACGAAACAAAUGACGGUACCUGAUGAAUAAGCUCCGGCUAACUACGUGCCAGCAGCCGCGGUAAUACGUAGGGAGCAAGCGUUAUCCGGAUUUACUGGGUGUAAAGGGCGCGUAGGCGGGAUGGCAAGUCAGAUGUGAAAUCCAGGGGCUCAACCCCUGAACUGCAUUUGAAACUGUCGUUCUUGAGUACUGGAGAGGUAGACGGAAUUCGUAGUGUAGCGGUGAAAUGCAUAGAUAUUAGGCGGAACACCAGUGGCGAAGGCGGUAAACUGGACAGCAACUGACGCUGAGGCGCGAAAGCGUGGGGAGCAAACAGGAUUAGAUACCCGUGUAGUC
RNAcentral lists this ribosomal RNA (443 nucleotides) under uncultured bacterium. RNAcentral describes it as "partial 16S ribosomal RNA". It matches the Rfam family "Bacterial small subunit ribosomal RNA", at positions 338 to 795 of the family's 1533-position model. The record is from RNAcentral.